CAGCGCGGGGCAACCUGGCGGCGAGCGGCGAACGGGUGAGUAACGCGUAGGAAUCUACCCAGUAGCGGGGGAUAGCCCGGGGAAACUCGGAUUAAUACCGCAUACGCCCUAAGGGGGAAAGCAGGGGAUCUUCGGACCUUGCACUAUUGGAAGAGCCUGCGUUGGAUUAGCUAGUUGGUAGGGUAAAGGCCUACCAAGGCGACGAUCCAUAGCUGGUCUGAGAGGAUGAUCAGCCACACCGGAACUGAGACACGGUCCGGACUCCUACGGGAGGCAGCAGUGGGGAAUAUUGGACAAUGGGGGCAACCCUGAUCCAGCCAUGCCGCGUGUGUGAAGAAGGCCUUCGGGUUGUAAAGCACUUUAAGUGGGGGGAAAGGCUCGGCAGCUAAUAUCUGCCGGGAUUGAUGCUACCCACAGAAUAAGCACCGGCUAACUCUGUGCCAGCAGCCGCGGUAACACAGAGGGUGCAAGCGUUAAUCGGAAUUACUGGGCGUAAAGCGCGCGUAGGCGGCUGAUUAAGUCGGAUGUGAAAUCCCCGGGCUCAACCUGGGAACUGCAUUCGAUACUGAUCGGCUAGAGUAUGAGAGAGGGAGGUAGAAUUCCACGUGUAGCGGUGAAAUGCGUAGAUAUGUGGAGGAAUACCGGUGGCGAAGGCGGCCUCCUGGCUUAAUACUGACGCUGAGGUGCGAAAGCGUGGGGAGCAAACAGGAUUANAUACCCUGGUAGUCCACGCUGUAAAC
Molecule: ribosomal RNA, 740 nt
Filed under: uncultured Gammaproteobacteria bacterium
Lineage: Bacteria; Pseudomonadati; Pseudomonadota; Gammaproteobacteria
Description: bacterial SSU rRNA
Rfam family: Bacterial small subunit ribosomal RNA
Source: RNAcentral